GUGUCAGCCGCCGCGUAAUACGGGGGGGACGAGCGUUGUUCGGAUUUACUGGGCGUAAAGGGCGCGUAGGCGGACUGUCAAGUCGGAAGUGAAAACCGGAGGCUUAACCUCAGGCUUGCUUUCGAUACUGUCAGUCUUGAGUACAGGAGAGGAAAGCGGAAUUCCAGGUGUAGCGGUGAAAUGCGUAGAUAUCUGGAAGAACACCAGUAGCGAAGGCGGCUUUCUGGUCUGAUACUGACGCUAAAGCGCGAAGGCUAGGGGAGCAAACAGGAUUAGAAACCCCCGUAGUCC
RNAcentral lists this ribosomal RNA (291 nucleotides) under uncultured bacterium. Its description in RNAcentral is "partial 16S ribosomal RNA". It matches the Rfam family "Bacterial small subunit ribosomal RNA", at positions 505 to 796 of the family's 1533-position model. The record is from RNAcentral.